Molecule: ribosomal RNA, 254 nt
Filed under: uncultured bacterium
Lineage: Bacteria
Description: partial 16S ribosomal RNA
Rfam family: Bacterial small subunit ribosomal RNA
Source: RNAcentral
UACGUAGGGACCAAGCGUUGUUCGGAUUUACUGGGCGUAAAGGGCGCGUAGGCGGCCACCGCAAGUCAAUUGUGAAAUCUCCGGGCUUAACUCGGAAAGGUCAACUGAUACUGCGGGGCUAGAGUGCAGAAGGGGCAACUGGGAUUCUCGGUGUAGCGGUGAAAUGCGUAGAUAUCGAGAGGAACACCUGCGGCGAAGGCGGGUUGCUGGGCUGACACUGACGCUGAGGCGCGAAAGCUAGGGGAGCGAACGGG